UACGUAGGGUGCAAGCGUUUGUUCGGAAUUAUUGGGCGUAAAGAGCUCGUAGGCGGUCUGUCGCGUCGGCUGUGAAAUCCCGAGGCUCAACCUCGGGUCUGCAGUCGAUACGGGCAAACUAGAGUAUUGCAGGGGAGACUGGAAUUCCUGGUGUAGCGGUGAAAUGCGCAGAUAUCAGGAGGAACACCGGUGGCGAAGGCGGGUCUCUGGGCCGAUACUGACGCUGAGGAGCGAAAGCGUGGGGAGCGAACAGG
This 254-nucleotide ribosomal RNA is filed under the name uncultured bacterium. RNAcentral's name for it is "partial 16S ribosomal RNA". It matches the Rfam family "Bacterial small subunit ribosomal RNA", at positions 524 to 776 of the family's 1533-position model. The record is from RNAcentral.